Molecule: long non-coding RNA, 301 nt
Organism: Mytilus californianus (California mussel)
Lineage: Eukaryota; Metazoa; Mollusca; Bivalvia; Mytilida; Mytilidae
Exons: 3
Source: RefSeq, a predicted model, not a curated record
AUUAAAACCAUUGACAACGUCAAUAGUUAUUGCUGAGAGUGAAGGGAAAAAUGUGUUCCAAAGUAACCUGCGAAAAAUGCAACAAGCCUACAUGGUCAGGUUGUGGAAAACAUAUUGAACAGGCUUUGAAGGAUGUGCCGCCAGAACAAAGAUGUAAAUGCCCGAGAGAGUCAAAAUAAUGGAUUUUUUUACUGAAUAACGUUGGUUAUUAGAGAACAGAAAGCAAGAGAUAGUUAUUUUAUAUAAACACAUCUUUGUAUUGAUAUAUCCAUUAAUAAUAAACAUAAUUCGUUGUUAAUAA